This is a long non-coding RNA of Motacilla alba alba, 901 nucleotides long. RefSeq lists it as uncharacterized. The transcript is spliced from 3 exons. The record is from RefSeq and is a predicted model, not a curated record. Lineage: Eukaryota; Metazoa; Chordata; Aves; Passeriformes; Motacillidae.
CACCACCCUGGUCACCAGAUCCAGUGUGCUGGAAAGAACAAAGAGACAACUUGGUAACUGUGCAUGAAAAUAGGUACAGCAGACUAUAGCCAGUCCAUAGCUUUGGCAUCCCCUGUGGGCAGAGUGGUUCUCUGUCUGACUGACUGUGAAGGACAAGCAAGAAUCCACUUGCAGAUCUAAUGUGGGGGCCUGGUUGUCCUGGGACACCAGUCUGGCCAGGUGGACCUUGGAGAAAGUGCCAAGUAACAGUGGUCUUUUUGUGAUGGAAAAUGAUGGAACUUCUGAAAAAGUGCCAGACUUACAACUCAGAAAGGUGAUGUUUGUGCUUCUCGUUUCUUCUCUUCUGCUACAAAGCUAAAUAAGUUUUUAACAUAAACUAGUCUCUUUCUAUUGCCUCAAAUUUCCUCUUUUCUUCUGAGAUCUGGCAGCUUCCUGCCUAUGGAUUUUCCUCUUCCAGCACCUCAAUGUUUAAAUUGAUCAUGUUGACAGAAAGAAAAGAAAAUGUAAAAUAGACAGUAAAAAGCAAUCCUCUCUCCAAACAGGUGACUCUGCCUUCUCUACCCUUGGGGAUAUCCACAAUGUCAAGUUCAAGCCUUUCCUCAACCUUCUGUGGUAAAUAUACACCAUGCCCUACUAGAACACAUUCAGAUCAUCCCUUGUUUCUCUUCUUGAGGAAAAAUAAUCUAUACUUGUAUUUUCUUCACAGUUCCAAUCCAUUAUGUCAACAGCCCAACUGGCAACAACACGACUUUUUGCUACCAGGCAACACUCAAUAGGUAUGUCUAAAACAGACUCAGAAAGAUUUUCCAAAGGGUUUUGAAAUAUUUUUGCUUUCACAGUGACUUAGGCGGUGAUUAAAUUUCACAGCAAAAAAAAUGCUGUGCUUUAGAAGUUUAACACA